This 426-nucleotide ribosomal RNA is filed under the name uncultured prokaryote. RNAcentral describes it as "bacterial SSU rRNA". It matches the Rfam family "Bacterial small subunit ribosomal RNA", at positions 355 to 796 of the family's 1533-position model. The record is from RNAcentral.
UGGGGAAUUUUCCGCAAUGGGGGCAACCCUGACGGAGCAACGCCGCGUGCGGGAGGAAGGCCUUUGGGUUGUAAACCGCUUUUCUCAGGGAAGAAGCUCUGACGGUACCUGAGGAAUCAGCCUCGGCUAACUCCGUGCCAGCAGCCGCGGUAAUACGGAGGAGGCAAGCGUUAUCCGGAAUCAUUGGGCGUAAAGCGUUCGCAGGCGGCGAUUCAAGUCUGCUGUCAAAGACCAGAGCUCAACUCUGGGCAGGCGGUGGAAACUGGGAAGCUAGAGUACGGUAGGGGUAGAGGGAAUUCCCAGUGUAGCGGUGAAAUGCGUAGAGAUUGGGAAGAACACCAGUGGCGAAGGCGCUCUACUGGACCUGUACUGACACUCAGGGACGAAAGCUAGGGGAGCGAAAGGGAUUAGAUACCCCCGUAGUCC